This 620-nucleotide ribosomal RNA is filed under the name uncultured bacterium. RNAcentral's name for it is "bacterial SSU rRNA". It matches the Rfam family "Bacterial small subunit ribosomal RNA", at positions 8 to 608 of the family's 1533-position model. The record is from RNAcentral.
AGAGUUUGAUCCUGGCUCAGAAUCAACGCUGGCGGCGUGCCUAACACAUGCAAGUCGAACGCGGCUUUCUCGCAAGGGAAAGCUGAGUGGCAAACGGGUGAGUAACACGUGGGUGACCUGCCUUCGAGUGGGGGAUAACGUUCCGAAAGGGACGCUAAUACCGCAUAACAUCCUGUCUUUUAAGAGAUGGACAUCAAAGCCUGGGACCGCAAGGCCAGGCGCUUGAAGAGGGGCCCGCGUCUGAUUAGCUAGUUGGUGGGGUAAUGGCUCACCAAGGCAACGAUCAGUAUCCGGCCUGAGAGGGCGGACGGACACACUGGGACUGAGACACGGCCCAGACUCCUACGGGAGGCAGCAGUGGGGAAUUGUUCGCAAUGGGCGCAAGCCUGACGACGCAACGCCGCGUGGAGGAUGAAGAUUUUCGGAUCGUAAACUCCUUUCGAUCGAGACGAAUGGCUUUCGGGUUAAUAGCCUGGAAGAAUGACGGUACCGAGAGAAGAAGCCCCGGCUAACUCCGUGCCAGCAGCCGCGGUAAUACGGGGGGGGCAAGCGUUGUUCGGAAUUACUGGGCGUAAAGGGCUCGUAGGUGGCCAACUAAGUCAAACGUGAAAUCCCUCGGC